This is a non-coding RNA of Danio rerio (zebrafish), 216 nucleotides long. Lineage: Eukaryota; Metazoa; Chordata; Actinopteri; Cypriniformes; Danionidae. The record is from RefSeq and is a predicted model, not a curated record.
GUGAAUGACAUCAAGGAAACAGGAUCAAAAAGAUCAUUCAUUAUAGAAUGUUUCAUAGGUCCUCCUGAUCAUUCUGUUCUCCUGGUUGUGAGGAUGUGCAGAGGCUGUAUUUGUCAGUGUUAAAAGAGUUGUGCAGCUGUAUCCAGACAUACAAGCAGCUGACAAAGAGUUCUGGAGCAGGACAGACCGUUGGCCUAUAUUCUGUUUUUCUAUGUU